CCCUUAACUAUUAAAAGUUUCGUUUUGGUCCCUUAACUUAUUUUUUGAUUUCGUUUUGGUCCCUUAACUUAUUUUUUUGUUUCAUUUUGGUCCCUUAACUCUAAUACAUUCAUCCUAACAUAAAGGAUCAAAGAGGUUGACGGAGGAUGAGUUAAGGGACCAAAACGAAACCAAAAAGUAAGUUAACGGACCAAAACGAAGCUUUUAAUAGUUAAGGGA
This 219-nucleotide microRNA precursor is filed under the name Medicago truncatula (barrel medic). RNAcentral's name for it is "MIR2655 microRNA precursor family". It matches the Rfam family "MIR2655 microRNA precursor family". Lineage: Eukaryota; Viridiplantae; Streptophyta; Magnoliopsida; Fabales; Fabaceae. The record is from Rfam by way of RNAcentral.